Molecule: ribosomal RNA, 465 nt
Filed under: uncultured bacterium
Lineage: Bacteria
Description: partial 16S ribosomal RNA
Rfam family: Bacterial small subunit ribosomal RNA
Source: RNAcentral
CCUACGGGAGGCAGCAGUAGGGAAUCUUCCACAAUGGACGAAAGUCUGAUGGAGCAACGCCGCGUGAGUGAAGAAGGGUUUCGGCUCGUAAAGCUCUGUUGGUAGUGAAGAAAAUGAGAGGUAGUAACUGUCCUUUAUUUGACGGUAAUUACUUAGAAAGUCACGGCUAACUACGUGCCAGCAGCCGCGGUAAUACGUAGGUGGCAAGCGUUGUCCGGAUUUAUUGGGCGUAAAGCGAGUGCAGGCGGUUCAAUAAGUCUGAUGUGAAAGCCUUCGGCUCAACCGGAGAAUUGCAUUAGAAACUGUUGAACUUGAGUGCAGAAGAGGAGAGUGGAACUCCAUGUGUAGCGGUGGAAUGCGUAGAUAUAUGGAAGAACACCAGUGGCGAAGGCGGCUUUCUGGUCUGCAACUGACGCUGAGGCUCGAAAGCAUGGGGAGCGAACAGGAUUAGAUACCCGAGUAGUC